CUCUGAAAUUGUUCAGUUCUAACUUGCGUUACUAAAGCAUAUUCUCCGACAGAGAAUUCGGUGAGUAAUCGGGUUCGGACUAUUUUUUAAAAACACCUCGCACCCUACAAAAUCCCAAAUUGGUGACAAUACGUCAUUUCUGCUAUCCCCGGGGGCUUCUCGGGCCAGGCACUUGACACCGCACACCUGAGUGACUCCCCCAUCUACACGUGCACCCCAGUACACCCCAUCUGGUGAAGGACCAGCCUCGCAGGCUUUCCUGGGUCUUUUGUGAGGCAGAUUAAAUUAGUUCGGCAAACCUCGUUCAGAAGGGCGAGCCCGCGACCGUCAGGUGACUGCGAUGCUGGCUCAAGCUUGAGAACCACUGCCUCCGUGGAGCAUCUUCCUGGGCACCCUGAGCACCGGCUGGGAUGCAGAACCACGACGUUGCUAUCUGAUCUCAUCAGGCUUCUGCCAAGAGGCUAAAUGUCACAGAAGUCCCAGGGAUAGAUUCAGCAAGGGCAGAGCCCCCAGAAGGCAGAGGAAAGGAUAGAACAGAGUGGACGUGGACAGACGUCAGUUCAGGAUGAAGCCUGAGAACACCCGAGCGUACCUGACCAUCCUGGCCCCUGCCCUGUGCUGUGCAGGCCCCGGGGGCACACUGCGCUGGGGGCCGCAGAGUGUGGCAGAGCUCUCGGGGGCAAUUGGACGUGAGCUAAGCCUUGGCAGGUUUCAUCACUCCAUCCAGGUGCUCACAGCCCUGCCAACUGAACGCUCUCUCCUGGGCAGCUGCAGCAGUCUGGCACCUGGCGCCCAUCUGGUGGAAAUAAGCAUCCGCUUGGGAGGCAUGACAGCCUUGUUGGCUCCCGCGUGAUUGAUGGCCACGGCUGCUGCCCCUGUGUCCCUCGCUUCCAAAUAACACAGAGGGGGACAGUUUCCCAGCCAGUUGGGUAGCUCCAGGUGGCCACGUUCACCUUGGGGAUUCCCAGGAAGAGAGAGGAAAACCUGUAAAAUGAUGACAAUCAUGCAUUCCGUAUCUAUAGUCAUUUUUGCUUCAGAAUCUCGAUGGCUGGAGCACAUGGGAGCUUUUCUCCAGGGAUUCUGUGCUGGUAGCUGUGUGCCUUGAUUUUUCAGGUGGUGAUGAGGGCACUGGGAGGAAGGGACCUGAAAAGUGGAAGCCUGGCUUUUUCUGAAUGAAAUAAUUUCUGUGACCAUGGGUCCCCAACUUACCUGUGUGCCAGACUCCUCAAUUGGGUGGGAGACACACAGGGCUGCAAGUUCUGGAAGGGUAGGUGUGUGACCAGACCCAGACACCUGUAUCUUUAUUCAGGUCCUUAGGACUUUUCACAAUGUGGUCUGCAGAUCACCUGAAUCCAAUCACCUAUUUCAAAAUGCAAGUUCUUGGGUACCUGGUUGACACAGUCAGUUAAGCAUCCAACUCUUGGUUUUGGCUCAGGUCAUGAUCUCAAGGUCAUGAGGUUGAGCCCCACCACCAGCUGUGUGCUCAACAGGGAUUCUGCUUAAGAUUCUCUUCCUCUGCUCCCCCCUACUCACACGUGCUCUCUCUAAAAUAAAUCUUUAAAAUAUAAAAUACAAAUGCAGGUUCCUUGGGCUCACCCCAAGACUCAUAAAAUAGUUCUGGAUAUUGAAGCCAUAAGGGGUUUUGUUUGUUUGUUUUAAGAUUUUAUUUAUUAGAGAGAGCGAGCACGAGGUGAGGAGGGGCAGAGGCAGAGGGAGAGGGAGAAGCAGGAGCAAGUUCCCCACUGAGCAGGUGGGGCUCCAUCCCAGGACCUUGGGAUCAUGACCUGAGCCGAAGGCAGACUCUUAACUGACUGAGCCACUCAGGAGCCCCAAAGCCUUAAGUUUUUCAAUUUGAAGUCUAAUUGACAUUCAACAUAGUGUUAAUUUCAUGACUCCACAUUUGUACACCUUAGGAAAUGAUCACCACAGUAAGCCUAGUUAAUAUCUGUCUCCAUACCUAGUUACAAAAACAUUUUUUUUCUUGUGAUGGGAACUUUUAAGAUUUACUUUCUUAGUAUCUUCAAAUUUGCAAUACAGUAUUGACCAUAGUCCCCAUGAGGUACGUGACAUCCCAUUGCUUAUUUUAUAACUGGAAGUCUCUGCCUCUUGUCUCCGCACACCCAUUUCACCCACCCCCAUCUGCCCUCCCCUCUGGCAACCACCCAUCUGUUCUCUGUAUCUAUGAGUUUUGUUUUUGUUUUGUUUUGUUCAUUUGUUUUGUUUUGUUUAGACUCCACAUAUAAGUGAGAUCAUACAGCACUUGUCUUUCUGUCUGAUGUAUUUCACCCAUGGAUGGCUUCAUUUUUAACAAGUGACUUUAACCUCCGGUCUUGAACACAUUUACAUUUGAGAACCACUGCAUAAAUGAUUCUGACACAUCAUGACACUUGCAAAGCCACUGCCCCACAGCAAUUAAACUUACAUUUCUAUCUUACAGGCCCUAGAUUUUUUUUCCCCUGACUCAACUAGACUUCCCUCAGCAACGAAGAGCAGUGUUGGUCAAUAGAACACAAAGGAGCAAAGAAAGUUGAAAAGUGAUGUAACCCGAAGCCACGUUGAGUCUGAGGCCAAGAAACUGUGAUGGAAAAACACUAGGGCUCCUCACCUUGAUUGUGACAAAGCUUUGGAGGGUGAAAUGGAAUGUGUGAACCUUCUGAAAACUGUCGACACUACAGCUCUUUAGCAAAUGGGCUAGUUGUAGUUAGCAACUUCCUCCUGGCAACAAGAAGCUGCCUCUAGUCUUAGGCGCCUUUUGACUCCUCAUGGCAAUCUUGGGGCAGGAUGGUGUGAGCAGAGAGACUGGGAGCUUGGCUUCCAAAGGUCAGGCGCCUUAGUCUGCAAUGCCUGACCUCAGAGGUACAGAGGGGCGCAGUCCACGUGUCUGUGCAGUGUUUUGGGGCAGGCUUUGCUGCCAGCCCCAUGGAACCCUCACCCCUGUGGCCUCUCUCCCGGCGGUCAGUGAACAGUGUGAGUCCCUGAAGAGCCAGUGCAGAGCCAUUCUGUAGGAGCCUAGCCAGCUAGACAAUGGCUACUCUGUUCCUGUGUUCGCUAGCACCCAGACAGUUAACCCAGAAACUGCCCUACUGCCCCUCAGGGCAGGCAAAUUUAAAAGCUCUCCUUUCAACUUUAGCCCCAAAUCUCAGAGGCUGAGAAGAUGCACUUUCUUCCCCCAAAGCCUAGUUUUUUCCAUACUAUUUGGCCGUGAGGCCUUCAAGAGGGUCUCUUUUCUUCUUUUGUGGCUGCUGAUCCCUGGAGAAUUGAUAGAUCUUCAGAAGAAUUCCCCUAGAAACUCUGGGGGACAAGAGCAACCUAUGUCCACCCAGCAAUCUGGACUGGGAACACUCUCACUGUCUCUCUCCCAACCCUCCCCACCCCCCGCCAAGAGAGCCAGAGAUCAAACAGCCAUCCCAGAAGGCCAGAAACUGGAGGCAUUCUUGAAAUUCAUUUUAAAUUUCAUUUUAUUAAACUUGGUAUCAUUUCAAAGAUUGAGGCAGCUUACAAAAAUCAUAUACAGUGUAUCUCAGCAGGAGGAAUAAAAGCAAAGGAAGGGAAACAGACAAAACUAGGUAGAAAUUUUUGCAUGAAUUCCCUGGUGGACUUCUUAAAGAUGGCACCCAGAUUUGGUUCUGAGCUUUUUAGUAAGCAAAGAAGUCAUCAGUCCUGGAGGUAACUCAGAUAUCCUCCAUCAGUCCACCUUCUCCUUUAUUUAAAAAAAAAAAAGUCUCCCAUUUAUGAAGUUUUUAUGUGCCAGGCACAUAGAGGAUAGAGCCCUAUGAACAAAAAUUAAGUCCUUGUCUUCAAGGGGCUUAUACUCUCGUUGAGGGAAAUAAACCAUAUAUUAGGAAACACUGAAAUGUGACCGUCUGUCAGGGGAUAAUAAAUGCUAAAAAAAAAAUGAAACUGUGUGUGGGGACAUACAGAGGCCAGGGGAGGUACAGCCAUUUUGACAAAACAGUGGGGGACGUCCUCUAGGGAGUGACACGAGCAACUGGAAGGGUGAAGAAGUGAGCUGUGUGGGUGUGGGGAAGAGCGUUUGGGGCACAGAGGGCAGUGUGUGCAAAGACCACGAAGCAGGAGGGCAGUUGAUGUGUCUGGGAAACUUCUAAGACAUCAGUGGGGCUUGAGCACAGUGAGGGGCAGAGGGGGAGGCAGUAGGUGGUGACAAUGCCCUUGGGAACUGGGCAGCCUGGCAGCCCCUGGGAAGCGGGGAGGUCAAAGGGAGAGUGGUGCCUCACAGGCCACGCAAGGACUCUGACUUACCUGCAGUGAAAUGAGCAGCACAGGGGAGUGUUAAGCAGAGAGGUUGCAGGAUUUCAAAAGAUCACUCUGGCUGUGUGUGAAAAAGGGGCUGUGGAGGGUGUUUGCUAGCCUGCUAGGGCAGGCUGUGACAAAAUACCACAGAGCGGGUGGCUGAAAAGACAGAAAUGGAUUUUCCACAGUUCUGGAAGUCUGAGAUCAAGAUGUCGGUAGGUUUGGGUUUUUUUGAGCCCCUCCCCCCUUUUAAAGAUUUUAUUUAUGUGUGAGAGACAUACAGAGAGAGGCAGAGACACAGGCAGAGGGAGAAGCAGGCUCCCCUCAGGGAGCCCAAUGUGGGACUCGAUCCCAGGACCCCAGGAUCAUGACCUGAGCCAAAGGCAGACAUUCACCCACUGAGCUGCCCAGACGCCCCUCAGAGUCCUUUUCCACAUGUCCCCGCAUGGUGUCUGGGCAUGUCCAAGUGUCUGUGUGUGUCCAAGUGUCUUCCUCUAGUUAAGGGUGUCGGUAAGAUGGGAUCAAGGCCCACCCAAGAGGCCUCUUGGUAAUAUAAUCACCUCUAUCAGGGCCCUGUCUCCAAAUACACUCCCUUUCUGAGGUCCUGGGUUUAGAGCUUCAAUGCACGAAUUCAGGGAGAACACAAUUCAGCCCAUCAUGGGGCAAGGGUAGAAGGGGGAAGACUGGUUUGGGAGCUAGCAAGAGCUGCCGGUGCCAUGAGCAGACUGACAGCUGUGGGAGCGUGAAAAGUGCUCCCCGAUCCUGUCUUAAAGGAUCUUAAAGGUAGAAUAGGGUUUGCUGAUGGGUCAGCUGGAGGGUGUGAAGAAAGAAGUUUCAAGAUGGCUCCAAUUUUGGAGGGCUGGGCAACUGGAAGUGUGGGGUUGGCAUUUACUGAGAUUAGGAAAGCUAUGAGGAGCCAGGGAGAUACUGAGAUCGAGACGUUCAGGUUGGGCCGUGUUAAGAGGCAUCAACAGACGGCAACAGAAAAAUCAGAAUUCAUGUUCUUUUCUCAGGCAAUACCGUUCUGGUCUUCUAUCUCAAGUCUCUCUCU
RNAcentral lists this long non-coding RNA (5302 nucleotides) under Canis lupus familiaris (dog). Its description in RNAcentral is "lncRNA (ENSCAFG00845018073.1)". The record is from RNAcentral. Lineage: Eukaryota; Metazoa; Chordata; Mammalia; Carnivora; Canidae.